This 367-nucleotide long non-coding RNA is filed under the name Setaria italica (foxtail millet). RNAcentral describes it as "long non-coding RNA (SITA_LNC005347)". The record is from RNAcentral. Lineage: Eukaryota; Viridiplantae; Streptophyta; Magnoliopsida; Poales; Poaceae.
GGGGAAUUACAGGAUGCAUGAACAAGAACAGUGGUGUAGUUGGUUGAUGGACUGAUGGUGCUUGGUGGACUGGUGGAGGAGGAAGUGACGCUGAUGGCGAUGCUUGCAGGUUUUCGGUUUGAAAAGCAUAUACGUACGGUUUAGGGAGGUUGUCGGCCGCGCCCGCGCGUGCGCUCCUGCCUAUCGAACCACGGCGAGGAAGGUGCUCGUCGGAGCGGAGGUCGCGGGUGCGGCCGCCGUCGUUGGUGCUGGUGCCGGCGGUGCGCUGUUGGUGCCGCCCGAGUUCGGCCUCUGGAACUGUAUCCUGUACUGCAUUUUGCCGUCGUCCUCGCCCUCCUCACCGUCGGUGUACUCAUCGCCCAUCUCG